This 201-nucleotide ribosomal RNA is filed under the name uncultured bacterium. RNAcentral describes it as "partial 16S ribosomal RNA". It matches the Rfam family "Bacterial small subunit ribosomal RNA", at positions 328 to 539 of the family's 1533-position model. The record is from RNAcentral.
ACGCUCGACACCUACGGGAGGCAGCAGUGGGGAAUAUUGGGCAAUGGGCGCAAGCCUGACCCAGCAACGCCGCGUGAAGGAAGAAGGCCCUCGGGUUGUAAACUUCUUUUGACAGGGACGAAACAAAUGACGGUACCUGUCGAAUAAGCCACGGCUAACUACGUGCCAGAAGCCGCGGUAAUCUGAGCGGGCUGGCAAGGC